Molecule: transfer RNA, 77 nt
Filed under: Aeromonas phage PX29
Lineage: Duplodnaviria; Heunggongvirae; Uroviricota; Caudoviricetes; Pantevenvirales; Straboviridae
Description: tRNA-Phe
Rfam family: tRNA
About the family: Transfer RNA (tRNA) molecules are approximately 80 nucleotides in length. Their secondary structure includes four short double-helical elements and three loops (D, anti-codon, and T loops). Further hydrogen bonds mediate the characteristic L-shaped molecular structure. tRNAs have two regions of fundamental functional importance: the anti-codon, which is responsible for specific mRNA codon recognition, and the 3' end, to which the tRNAs corresponding amino acid is attached (by aminoacyl-tRNA synthetases). tRNAs cope with the degeneracy of the genetic code in two manners: having more than one tRNA (with a specific anti-codon) for a particular amino acid; and 'wobble' base-pairing, i.e. permitting non-standard base-pairing at the 3rd anti-codon position.
Source: RNAcentral
GCAUCGGUAACUCAGUAUGGUAGAGUGGCGGAUUGAAAAUCCGCUGGUCACUGGUUCAAGUCCAGUCCGAUGCACCA